This 490-nucleotide ribosomal RNA is filed under the name uncultured bacterium. Its description in RNAcentral is "partial 16S ribosomal RNA". It matches the Rfam family "Bacterial small subunit ribosomal RNA", at positions 28 to 507 of the family's 1533-position model. The record is from RNAcentral.
GAUGAACGCUAGCGAUAGGCUUAACACAUGCAAGUCGAGGGGCAGCAUGGUCUUAGCUUGCUAAGACUGAUGGCGACCGGCGCACGGGUGCGUAACGCGUAUGCAACUUGCCUCACAGAGGGGGAUAACCCGUCGAAAGACGGACUAAUACCGCGUACACUUGGGAUAGGGCAUCCUGACCCAAGGAAAUGAAAUUCGCUGUGAGAUAGGCAUGCGUCCCAUUAGCUAGUUGGUGAGGUAACGGCUCACCAAGGCGACGAUGGGUAGGGGAACUGAGAGGUUGAACCCCCACACUGGUACUGAGACACGGACCAGACUCCUACGGGAGGCAGCAGUGAGGAAUAUUGGUCAAUGGGCGAGAGCCUGAACCAACCAAGUCGCGUGAAGGAUGACUGUCUUAUGGAUUGUAAACUUCUUUUAUACGGGAAUAACAAGAGCCACGUGUGGCUCCCUGCAUGUACCGUAUGAAUAAGCAUCGGCUAACUCCGUG